RNAcentral lists this ribosomal RNA (503 nucleotides) under uncultured bacterium. RNAcentral's name for it is "bacterial SSU rRNA". It matches the Rfam family "Bacterial small subunit ribosomal RNA", at positions 26 to 507 of the family's 1533-position model. The record is from RNAcentral.
AGAGCGAACGUUAGCGGCGGGCCUAACACAUGCAAGUCGAACGCGAAAGGUCUUCGGACUGAGUAGAGUGGCGCACGGGUGAGUAACACGUAGGUAAUCUACCCUUUGGCGGGGGAUAACGUUCCGAAAGGAGCGCUAAUACCGCAUAAGACCACGGAGUCUCCGGACGCUGUGGGAAAAGGUGGCCUCUUCUUGAAAGCUACCACCGAAGGAUGAGCCUGCGUCCCAUCAGCUAGUUGGUAAGGUAAUGGCUUACCAAGGCGAAGACGGGUAGCUGGUUUGAGAGAAUGAUCAGCCACACUGGCACUGGAACACGGGCCAGACUCCUACGGGAGGCAGCAGUGAGGAAUAUUGGGCAAUGGGCGAAAGCCUGACCCAGCCACGCCGCGUGAGUGAUGAAGGCCCUCGGGUCGUAAAGCUCUGUGGAGAGGGACGAAAACCCUGGUUUCAAAUAGGCUCCAGGCUUGACGGUACCUCUUUAGCAAGCACCGGCUAACUCUGUG